Transfer RNA from Ovis aries (sheep), 72 nucleotides. It matches the Rfam family "tRNA". From Rfam's summary of the family: Transfer RNA (tRNA) molecules are approximately 80 nucleotides in length. Their secondary structure includes four short double-helical elements and three loops (D, anti-codon, and T loops). The record is from Rfam. NCBI's taxonomy places the organism in Eukaryota, Metazoa, Chordata, Mammalia, Artiodactyla, Bovidae.
UCCCUGGUGGCUCAGACGGUAAAGCAUCUGCUUGCAAUGUGGGAGACCUGGGUUCGAUCCCUUGGUGGGGAA